This 844-nucleotide long non-coding RNA is filed under the name Manihot esculenta (cassava). RNAcentral describes it as "long non-coding RNA (MESC_LNC000930)". Lineage: Eukaryota; Viridiplantae; Streptophyta; Magnoliopsida; Malpighiales; Euphorbiaceae. The record is from RNAcentral.
GGGUUUAAAAUUUUAAUUAAAAUUUAAUUCAAAUUAAUGAAAUUAUUUAUAUGAUAAAAAUAAUGCAAAUAGUGUGUUAUGUAAAUUAAUUUAAAUAUAAUUAAAAUUAAUUUAAAAAAUUACUAUAAAAGUUGAAAUUUUUAUUUAAAAUUAAAAGUUUAGACUAUAAAAAUAAAAAUUUGUAAAAUUAAAGUUUUUUAAUAAAUAAAUUAUUAUUUAUUAUUUAGUAUAAUAAAAAUCGAAUCCUUUAGCCCCUGCUCACAUAUGGGUUUAUUAAUAACGAAAUGUAGGUAUGUCAACACUAAUAUGAAAAUUUUCAUUUAUAUAAUUGAUAAAUCAAAGAUGUGUUUGUUUUGGGUUAAUAGUGGUCUAAAGUUAUUCAUAUUAAUGUUAUGAUUAUGGCUUAAUUCACAGGAUAAUUAGCUAUUAUACAAACAGUACCAUAAUUAUAUACCAUCUAAAUUCACCAAUAUUACAAUUCAGCCUAUCUAUUUUGAUCUUUUGCAGCACAUUGAACCUUUUCUGAUGCGGAUCGGACAGGACCUGGAUAGACUUUCUUAAACAUUGAAGGAAAGCAACCACCGGAUUGCUUGACUUCAACAUCAAACCCCUCAGCCUUAGCCCUUUCUUCUUCCAAUUUCUUCAGUGCCUCUCUCUGUAAUUUUCUCUGCACAUAUGCUUCAGCUAGGCAAUACCCAGGAGUUGCCAUGGCCUACGAGAUGUUGAGCAGGACCACGAGCCUAGAAAUGAAGCAGCUUAGAUGGCUGUGAAAUUGAGAAGGGCUUGAAAUGGUUAGUUUUUAUAGGCGGAUGGUGGCUUGGGAAGCAAGAAAAUUAAAAUAAAG